UCCUACGGGAGGCAGCAGUGGGGAAUAUUGCACAAUGGGCGCAAGCCUGAUGCAGCGACGCCGCGUGAGCGAAGAAGUAUUUCGGUAUGUAAAGCUCUAUCAGCAGGGAAGAUAAUGACGGUACCUGACUAAUAAGCACCGGCUAAAUACGUGCCAGCAGCCGCGGUAAUACGUAUGGUGCAAGCGUUAUCCGGAUUUACUGGGUGUAAAGGGAGCGUAGGCGGUUUUACAAGUCUGAUGUGAAAGCCCGCAGCUCAACUGCGGUAUUGCAUUGGAAACUGUAGAACUAGAGUGUCGGAGGGGUAAGUGGAAUUCCUAGUGUAGCGGUGAAAUGCGUAGAUAUUAGGAGGAACACCAGUGGCGAAGGCGGCUUACUGGACGAUUACUGACGCUGAGGCUCGAAAGCGUGGGGAGCAAACAGGAUUAGAUACCCUGGUAGUCC
Molecule: ribosomal RNA, 442 nt
Filed under: uncultured bacterium
Lineage: Bacteria
Description: bacterial SSU rRNA
Rfam family: Bacterial small subunit ribosomal RNA
Source: RNAcentral